CCGUUAGAAUCUCUCUUAUAU
This 21-nucleotide small nuclear RNA is filed under the name Arabidopsis thaliana (thale cress). Its description in RNAcentral is "snRNA_07931". The record is from RNAcentral. Lineage: Eukaryota; Viridiplantae; Streptophyta; Magnoliopsida; Brassicales; Brassicaceae.